CGGGAACGUGACGUCGGCACGACGCUGGGGCCCCGGGCACAGGCCGCAUUUGGAUAACGCCAUUCCCCACACCCUCGUUUUAGACUCCAGGGUGAACGUGUUCCUUCCCAGGCAGGCGGGAGGGAACGCGGCUCUCGCCCAGCGAGAUCCUAACCCCAGCAGCGUAAACAGGGGGUAGCGCAUUGAGAAACGAGCUAUCGGAGUUUGGCUUGUUUCCUCCCACAGCUGUGAUCGACGGCGCUAAGAACGGUGGAGGAUCUGCCGAAGAGUCCAUGUGAAAGAAAACUCGUGUGUGUGAGCUCAUAUGCUGAGAACUUGGGGAAGAUGAAGGCCUGCCUGAAGCGAAGCAUCGUCCCUGCCCUUGGGAGCACCAGCUCCAUUUCCCUGCUGACAACAGAGGUGGCCCUCAGUGGUCACGAGGGGACACGAAGAUCCAGGGGACGGCCCGUCACUCCGGCCCAAGCCGGCCCUGCGGACACGGUGCCUGAUUCCCGGAUGAGUCCUCCGCGCGAGGCUUUCCUGCAGACAGGUCUGUUGCUUCACAGCAAUGGGGCUUCUUUACGAGCCGUUCUCAACCCGGGGGCAGUUUGUUCAGCCCACGCCCACCCCAGGGGCCCUGGGCAGUCCAUGCCGGGUGACAUUUCUGGAUGUGACAUCGAGUGGGCGAAGCCAGGGACGCUGCAUCCCACGAUGUGCGGCACAGCCUGCGGCAGAGCCGCUCUGGCUCCGCCGUCCGUCUCUCCCAGGGGGAGACCCCCCGACGCUUUGUGUCUCUGACCCUCCUACUGAACGGUUUCUUCCCGUCACGGCUUCUUACCAAAAAUUCCAAUUGUGAAACUUUCAGAAAUACACGUGUUCUGAGCAGCGGUGAUGGGAGGGUCAGAGAAAAGAACAGGAGAACAAGGAACAAGUAUCUCAUUGCAAAUAUUUCAUAUUAAAAAAAUG
Long non-coding RNA from Canis lupus familiaris (dog), 945 nucleotides. RefSeq lists it as uncharacterized. The transcript has 3 exons. Lineage: Eukaryota; Metazoa; Chordata; Mammalia; Carnivora; Canidae. The record is from RefSeq and is a predicted model, not a curated record.